UACGUAGGGUGCGAGCGUUAAUCGGAAUUACUGGGCGUAAAGGGCGCGCAGGCGGCGCAUUUUGUCAGGCGUGAAAGCCCCGGGCUUAACCUGGGAACCGCGUUUGAUACGGAUGGGCUAGAGUUCGGGAGAGGAGAGUGGAAUUCCCAGUGUAGAGGUGAAAUUCGUAGAUAUUGGGAGGAACACCGAUGGCGAAGGCAGGUCUCUGGGCAUUAACUGACGCUGAGGAGCGAAAGCAUGGGGAGCGAACAGG
This 253-nucleotide ribosomal RNA is filed under the name uncultured bacterium. RNAcentral's name for it is "partial 16S ribosomal RNA". It matches the Rfam family "Bacterial small subunit ribosomal RNA", at positions 524 to 776 of the family's 1533-position model. The record is from RNAcentral.